AGUGAACGCUGGCGGUAGGCCUAACACAUGCAAGUCGAACGGCAGCACAGUAAGAGCUUGCUCUUACGGGUGGCGAGUGGCGGACGGGUGAGGAAUACAUCGGAAUCUACUUUUUCGUGGGGGAUAACGUAGGGGAACUUACGCUAGUACCGCAUACGACCUACGGGUGAAAGCAGGGGAUCUUCGGACCUUGCGCGGAUGAAUGAGCCGAUGUCGGAUUAGCUAGUUGGCGGGGUAAAGGCCCAGCAAGGGGGCGAUCCGUAGCUGGUCUGAGAGGAUGGUAAGCCACAUUGGAAGUGAGACAGGGUCAAGAGUCCUACGGGAGGCAGCAGUGGGGAAUAUUGGACAAUGGGCGCAAGCCUGAUCCAGCCAUACCGCGUGUGUGAAGAAGGCCUUCGGGUUGUAAAGCCCUUUUGUUGGGAAAGAAAAGCAGCAGGUUAAUACCCCGCUGUUCUGACGGUACCCAAAGAAGAAGCACCGGCUAACUUCGUG
This 492-nucleotide ribosomal RNA is filed under the name uncultured bacterium. RNAcentral describes it as "partial 16S ribosomal RNA". It matches the Rfam family "Bacterial small subunit ribosomal RNA", at positions 29 to 507 of the family's 1533-position model. The record is from RNAcentral.